GAUGAACGCUAGCGGCAGGCCUAAUACAUGCUAGUCGGACGGGAUCUGUCGGAGAGCUUGCUCGAAGAUAGUGAGAGUGGCGCACGGGUGCGUAACGCGUGAGCAACCUACCCAUAUCAGGGGGAUAGCCCGGAGAAAUCCGGAUUAAGACCGCAUAACACUGUGAUUUGGCAUCAUGUUACAGUUAAAUAUUUAUAGGAUAUGAAUGGGCUCGCGUGACAUUAGCUGGUUGGUGAGGUAACGGCUCACCAAGGCGACGAUGUCUAGGGGCUCUGAGAGGAGAAUCCCCCACACUGGUACUGAGACACGGACCAGACUCCUACGGGAGGCAGCAGUAAGGAAUAUUGGUCAAUGGGCGGAAGCCUGAACCAGCCAUGCCGCGUGCAGGACGACUGCCCUAUGGGUUGUAAACUGCUUUUGUCGAGGAAUAAACCUAUCUACGUGUAGAUAGCUGAACGUACUCGAAGAAUAAGGAUCGGCUAACUCCGUGCCAGCAGCAGCCGCGG
RNAcentral lists this ribosomal RNA (506 nucleotides) under uncultured bacterium. Its description in RNAcentral is "partial 16S ribosomal RNA". It matches the Rfam family "Bacterial small subunit ribosomal RNA", at positions 28 to 523 of the family's 1533-position model. The record is from RNAcentral.